GCAAGUGGGCCUAUUGUGAGGUAAGAAUAGUUCUAGAAGACAAACCUUCACUGGAAUCACUGGGAAAAAGCCAACAAUUCAUGGAAUGUGUUUCAUGACCCCUAAGUAAACCCACUAAAUGCACACAUGAAUCAUCUUCUUGCUUGGCCAGAUCCUGUAAAGACCCCAUAUAUUAUGGAAAGAAUAAAGAUUAAAAAUUACUACAAAACAUUAGGAGAAGUCUUUUUGUGGCUACCAAUGGAAAUGAUUGAUGAAGUCAACAAAGAAUGAAAAGUCUGUCAAGCCAAAGAAACUCAGGACACCAUUACCUGGGGGUUAGGCACUGUCGACCAUAAUACCGUAUACUAUUUUGGUCAUUGUGCCACAGUCAUCAUAUUUGUUUUGGUUGCGUUUCUUAAUUUACCAUUGGGACUAAUAUGGUAGUCCUGGCCAUACACUGCCAACAGGACACGAUGUCAAUUUAAGGCAUAGAAAUAUUUAACAUGAUGUCCUCUAAACAGAAUGGUUUGAACAGUCAGAAACAUGUGACCUGGCCAAUAUUAUCUUUGAAAAGACAGUGAAGAUAGUUUGAUGAUUGAUUAACUGGAAAUAAGAUGGAGGAAGAGACUGAUCACAGUGAUGGGAUGCUACCGCAGUCACCAAAAUAAAGGAUUGCAAGUUCCAAAUUUAACACUGUGGAGGUGGGAAUAGAGUGGUUAGAUGGGAAAGUCAUGUUCACACAUGAGAAAUUAGAGAAUUUAUUGAAUUUGCAUAAUAAAGGAAGAGAAUCACAAGCCUUCUAUUUUGAGUGAACAUGUUACUGAGUAACAAGAAAUGUACUUUCCUGGAGAAUAACUGAUUUUUUAAAUUUGGGGUGGAGAAAACAUCCCAUGGAAUACAGUAACUGGAGUACUACUGCUUUGGUUAAAACUCUCACUCCAUCACUUUCCUGUGUGGUCUUGAGAACAUUACCCAACUCCCCCACAUCUCUGUUUGCUUAUCUGUGAUUAGAAAAUCAUAGCAGCACCAGUCACAAGUUGUUAUGAA
Molecule: long non-coding RNA, 1026 nt
Organism: Acinonyx jubatus (cheetah)
Lineage: Eukaryota; Metazoa; Chordata; Mammalia; Carnivora; Felidae
Exons: 3
Source: RefSeq, a predicted model, not a curated record